Molecule: ribosomal RNA, 468 nt
Filed under: uncultured bacterium
Lineage: Bacteria
Description: partial 16S ribosomal RNA
Rfam family: Bacterial small subunit ribosomal RNA
Source: RNAcentral
GACGAACGCUGGCGGCGUGCUUAACACAUGCAAGUCGAACGGAAAGGCCCUGCUUUUGUGGGGUGCUCGAGUGGCGAACGGGUGAGUAACACGUGAGUAACCUGCCCUUGACUUUGGGAUAACUUCAGGAAACUGGGGCUAAUACCGGAUAGGAGCUCCUGCUGCAUGGUGGGGGUUGGAAAGUUUCGGCGGUUGGGGAUGGACUCGCGGCUUAUCAGCUUGUUGGUGGGGUAGUGGCUUACCAAGGCUUUGACGGGUCGCCGGCCUGAGAGGGUGACCGGCCACAGUGGGACUGAGAUACGGCCCAGACUGCUACGGGAGGCAGCAGUGGGGAAUAUUGCACAAUGGGCGGAAGCCUGAUGCAGCAACGCCGCGUGCGGGAUGACGGCCUGCGGGGUGUAAACCGCUUUCGCCUGUGACGAAGCGUGAGUGACGGUAAUGGGUAAAGAAGCACCGGCUAACUACGUG